GAUGAACGCUGGCGGCGUGCCUAAUACAUGCAAGUCGAGCGAACGGACGAGAAGCUUGCUUCUCUGAUGUUAGCGGCGGACGGGUGAGUAACACGUGGAUAACCUACCUACAAGACUGGGAUAACUUCGGGAAACCGGAGCUAAUACCGGAUGAUAUUUUGAACCGCAUGGUUCAAAAGUGAAAGACGGUCUUGCUGUCACUUAUAGAUGGAUCCGCGCUGCAUUAGCUAGUUGGUAAGGUAACGGCUUACCAAGGCAACGAUGCAUAGCCGACCUGAGAGGGUGAUCGGCCACACUGGAACUGAGACACGGUCCAGACUCCUACGGGAGGCAGCAGUAGGGAAUCUUCCGCAAUGGGCGAAAGCCUGACGGAGCAACGCCGCGUGAGUGAUGAAGGUAUUCGGAUCGUAAAGCUCUGUUAUUAGGGAAGAACAUAUGUGUAAGUAACUGUGCACAUCUUGACGGUACCUAAUCAGAAAGCCACGGCUAACUACGUG
This 497-nucleotide ribosomal RNA is filed under the name uncultured bacterium. RNAcentral describes it as "partial 16S ribosomal RNA". It matches the Rfam family "Bacterial small subunit ribosomal RNA", at positions 28 to 507 of the family's 1533-position model. The record is from RNAcentral.